Molecule: long non-coding RNA, 912 nt
Filed under: Helianthus annuus (common sunflower)
Lineage: Eukaryota; Viridiplantae; Streptophyta; Magnoliopsida; Asterales; Asteraceae
Description: sRNA HanXRQr2_Chr14g0624051
Source: RNAcentral
GUUCUUUGUGUUUUUUUAUUAGAAUUAUAUGAAAUAAUUAUUCAGAUUUAAUAGUUGACAUCGUUUGAUGUUAUUGGUUUCGGCUAGAGUAUUGGAAAUGAAUAAAUCGAUUCUUGGUUAAUUAUAGUUGUAAAUUUCUAAUUUCAAAUGUGUUGCAGGUUUGCCAACAAAACAGGGGUUUCCGUUUUUCUUUUUGUUUCAAUUUUCAUUCCCAUUUUGAUGUUCAACGAUUUGGACUUCUGUAUCGAAGAUUUUGAAUGGAUUUCUUGAUCGAUUUUUUGGAUUGAAUUUUCAGAUUGUGAUGAUUCCUCGGGUUGAUGUUCCAAAUUGAAUUUUCGGGUUUUAUGAACACGGUGGGAUUAUUAGGGAUUUGGAUCUCAUCGAAAAAGAUUUUUUCGGAAUUAACGUGGCAAUAAGGAUGGCACCGGCACGAACCGAGGUACCACUAAAACAACAACCCCACAAGUCAAGGAUGAUAACAAAGGGAAAAGUACCGCUUCCACUGAACCAUCCUUAAGUGAUUUUCUUCAACCAAAGGAUUCACCAACAAAUCAAAAGAAAAACAACCCACCUGCAACAUCCCCGCACACAUACAACAUAAUCAAAGAAAUAGAGAAGACCCAUGGAUGUAUUGGUACAGUGUCCACACCACUAAACACCCCAGCUUACCAGCAAACUAACGAACAAGACGAUUGGGAGGACGAUGAACGGUGGAUAACCAGUAUGGACGAAAUCAAGGAGACAUUCAAACCUUUUUUAAAUUGAACAUACUAUCUCGUUCGACGUGGUUACCAUGGUCCCCCGAUUUAAAAUAAUUUGUCAAUGACUUUCAGACGACCUUUUCUUCUUACCUUUAAGAAUUUUAGUACAUUUUUGGGCGAUUUGGCCAGAAAUCAAAUGAUCACUUCUUUA